Molecule: ribosomal RNA, 446 nt
Filed under: uncultured bacterium
Lineage: Bacteria
Description: partial 16S ribosomal RNA
Rfam family: Bacterial small subunit ribosomal RNA
Source: RNAcentral
CCUACGGGAGGCAGCAGUCGAGAAUCAUUCACAAUGGGGGAAACCCUGAUGGUGCGACGCCGCGUGGGGGAAUGAAGGUCUUCGGAUUGUAAACCCCUGUCAUGUGGGAGCAAAUUAUAAAGAUAGUACCCCAAGAGGAAGAGACGGCUAACUCUGUGCCAGCAGCCGCGGUAAUACAGAGGUCUCAAGCGUUGUUCGGAAUCACUGGGCGUAAAGCGUGCGUAGGCUGUUUCGUAAGUCGUGUGUGAAAGGCGCGGGCUCAACCCGCGGACGGCACAUGAUACUGCGAGACUAGAGUAAUGGAGGGGGAACCGGAAUUCUCGGUGUAGCAGUGAAAUGCGUAGAUAUCGAGAGGAACACUCGUGGCGAAGGCGGGUUCCUGGACAUUAACUGACGCUGAGGCACGAAGGCCAGGGGAGCGAAAGGGAUUAGAUACCCCUGUAGUC